This is a long non-coding RNA of Engraulis encrasicolus (European anchovy), 441 nucleotides long. RefSeq lists it as uncharacterized. Lineage: Eukaryota; Metazoa; Chordata; Actinopteri; Clupeiformes; Engraulidae. The record is from RefSeq and is a predicted model, not a curated record. The transcript is spliced from 3 exons.
UUAACUUCUUUGUGACCAAUAUGACUUGCUCAUUGAUACAUUUGCUAUGUCAAUAUGAGGUGCAUGGCGAAUUAUUUAAUUUAUUUGUCUCGCUUCUAGGAGCUGUAGAAACAACAGGGUGUUCUUUUUCAGGGUAUUCUUUUUUUAUAGAACUGGACAGGUCAUUUAUUCGUUCCCCUUGUUUUUUGAAGUGUCCUGCAGGAUGCUGUGUCCUGCAAUCCUGUGUGCUGUGCUACAGACGUGUGUGGAGGUCAACCCAAAAUGGGCACAGUCUCACCACAGAAGAGUGAAAGAGGAUCCUGGCAGGGAGACGGUAGUGUCCUGCAGAAUGGUGAUGGGCCAAUCUUACAAGAGACCACAGAAAACUGAUAUAGUGAACUAUAGAAACAACAGAGUGCCUGCUGCAGUAUGACGAGGACACCCCGAGUAGAGAGCUCCAAU